Molecule: ribosomal RNA, 253 nt
Filed under: uncultured Allobaculum sp.
Lineage: Bacteria; Bacillati; Bacillota; Erysipelotrichia; Erysipelotrichales; Erysipelotrichaceae
Description: partial 16S ribosomal RNA
Rfam family: Bacterial small subunit ribosomal RNA
Source: RNAcentral
UACGUAGGUGGCGAGCGUUAUCCGGAAUGAUUGGGCGUAAAGGGUGCGCAGGCGGUCCUGCAAGUCUGGAGUGAAACGUAUGAGCUCAACUCAUGCAUGGCUCUGGAAACUGGAGGACUGGAGAGCAGGAGAGGGCGGUGGAACUCCAUGUGUAGCGGUAAAAUGCGUAGAUAUAUGGAAGAACACCAGUGGCGAAGGCGAGAACUUAGGCUAUCACUGACGCUUAGGCUCGAAAGUGUGGGGAGCAAAUAGG